This 678-nucleotide ribosomal RNA is filed under the name uncultured Bacteroidota bacterium. RNAcentral's name for it is "bacterial SSU rRNA". It matches the Rfam family "Bacterial small subunit ribosomal RNA", at positions 60 to 737 of the family's 1533-position model. Lineage: Bacteria; Pseudomonadati; Bacteroidota. The record is from RNAcentral.
AGUCGAGGGGUAGAAUUAGCUUGCUAAUUUGAGACCGGCGCACGGGUGCGUAACGCGUAUGCAAUCUGCCUUUCACAAAGGGAUAGCCCAGAGAAAUUCGGAUUAAUACCUUAUAGUAUAUUUUUGUGGCAUCACAGGAUUAUUAAAGAUUUAUCGGUGAAAGAUGAGCAUGCGUCCCAUUAGCUAGUUGGUAAGGUAACGGCUUACCAAGGCAACGAUGGGUAGGGGUCCUGAGAGGGAGAUCCCCCACACUGGUACUGAGACACGGACCAGACUCCUACGGGAGGCAGCAGUGAGGAAUAUUGGACAAUGGGCGCAAGCCUGAUCCAGCCAUGCCGCGUGCAGGAUGAAGCAUCUAUGGUGUGUAAACUGCUUUUGUACGGGAAGAAACCCCGCCACGUGUGGCGGACUGACGGUACCGUAAGAAUAAGGAUCGGCUAACUCCGUGCCAGCAGCCGCGGUAAUACGGAGGAUCCAAGCGUUAUCCGGAAUCAUUGGGUUUAAAGGGUCCGUAGGCGGGCCUGUAAGUCAGUGGUGAAAUCUCCCGGCUCAACCGGGAAAUUGCCAUUGAUACUGCAGGUCUUGAAUUAUUAGGAAGUAACUAGAAUAUGUAGUGUAGCGGUGAAAUGCUUAGAUAUUACAUGGAAUACCGAUUGCGAAGGCAGGUUACUACUAAUG